This 426-nucleotide ribosomal RNA is filed under the name uncultured bacterium. RNAcentral describes it as "bacterial SSU rRNA". It matches the Rfam family "Bacterial small subunit ribosomal RNA", at positions 354 to 796 of the family's 1533-position model. The record is from RNAcentral.
GUGGGGAAUCUUGCGCAAUGGGCGAAAGCCUGACGCAGCAACGCCGCGUGGGGGACGAAGGCCUUCGGGUUGUAAACCCCUUUCAGCAGGGACGAAAAUGACGGUACCUGCAGAAGAAGCCCCGGCCAACUACGUGCCAGCAGCCGCGGUAAUACGUAGGGGGCGAGCGUUGUCCGGAUUUAUUGGGCGUAAAGAGCUCGUAGGCGGUUUGGCAAGUCGGGUGUGAAAACUCCGGGCUCAACUCGGAGACGCCACUCGAUACUGCCAUGACUCGAGUCCGGUAGGGGAGUGCGGAAUUCCUGGUGUAGCGGUGAAAUGCGCAGAUAUCAGGAGGAACACCGGUGGCGAAGGCGGCACUCUGGGCCGGUACUGACGCUGAGGAGCGAAAGCGUGGGGAGCGAACAGGAUUAGAAACCCCUGUAGUCC